GACGAACGCUGGCGGCGUGCCUAAUACAUGCAAGUUGAGCGCUGAAGGUUGGUACUUGUACCAACUGGAUGAGCAGCAAACGGGUGAGUAACGCGUGGGGAAUCUGCCUUUGAGCGGGGGACAACAUUUGGAAACGAAUGCUAAUACCGCAUAAAAACUUUAAACACAAGUUUUAAGUUUGAAAGAUGCAAUUGCAUCACUCAAAGAUGAUCCCGCGUUGUAUUAGCUAGUUGGUGAGGUAAAGGCUCACCAAGGCGAUGAUACAUAGCCGACCUGAGAGGGUGAUCGGCCACAUUGGGACUGAGACACGGCCCAAACUCCUACGGGAGGCAGCUGUAGGGAAUCUUCGGCAAUGGACGAAAGUCUGACCGAGCAACGCCGCGGGAGGGAAGAAGGUUGUCGGAUCGUAAAACUCUGUUGGUAGAGAAGAACGUUGGUGAGAGUGGAAAGCUCAUCAAGUGACGGUAACUACCCAGAAAGGGACGGCUAACUACGUG
This 497-nucleotide ribosomal RNA is filed under the name uncultured bacterium. RNAcentral's name for it is "partial 16S ribosomal RNA". It matches the Rfam family "Bacterial small subunit ribosomal RNA", at positions 28 to 507 of the family's 1533-position model. The record is from RNAcentral.